UUUGUGAUCUCUGGAGUGGAUCCAAACUGAGAGCAACUGAAAGCAUAAGGACAGACUGGGCAGGCAGAUAAUGUGGGUUCAGACUCCCUCCAACAGAGACAUCAUUUCAAAAUGGUUUUCCCAGGUGCCAGGUGAAAACACAAACCCCAGGGUACUGAGUAAAAGGUGUGAAGUGGGAUGAGUCCUCUUCCUGCUCUGUGAGCAGACACAGUGCUCACCCUGCUCAUGGGCUCUUCUUUCUCUCCUGCAGCUACCUACCUGGAAGAACUGUGCAGUAUAAUUUUACUCCAGCUCAACCUCUUCUAGGCUCAUCAGUUUAAGAUACUUGUUAUUUCCCCUGGGACCAAGACAGUGAAGGAAUGCAAGGUUCAUCAUUUCUCUGCUAUCCAGGGAAACCACAUGAGAAUGAGAAGAGCAGAUGACCAUCCUUAAAACUGCAUAUCAAAGAGUGAGAUUGAACUUGGAUUCUCGGAAACAGAGACAGAACUUGAACCAAAAGAAAGAAAAUGAUGCCCCACCUUCCAUACCCACUGUGAAGGAACCAUUUACUGGGCUCUGACAUGACCAUUAAUCUGUCCUCAUUCACCCACCUCUAAAGAAAACAAAAGCUAUGACUUUGCUUUGUGAAGAAUGCAAUAAGUAUUGUGCACACAGGUACACUCGUGUGCAUGCAUGUGCACAUAUGUGACACUGAGAAAUACUGCUGGAUCCAGUCCUCCAGAGAGAUUAAUCAUAAGGAAUUUGUUGCUAACAGAUACUUUUAGCCUUAAG
RNAcentral lists this long non-coding RNA (771 nucleotides) under Cyanistes caeruleus (blue tit). RNAcentral describes it as "lncRNA (ENSCCEG00000009345.1)". The record is from RNAcentral. Lineage: Eukaryota; Metazoa; Chordata; Aves; Passeriformes; Paridae.